Molecule: ribosomal RNA, 404 nt
Filed under: uncultured bacterium
Lineage: Bacteria
Description: bacterial SSU rRNA
Rfam family: Bacterial small subunit ribosomal RNA
Source: RNAcentral
GACGAACGCUGGCGGCGUGCUUAACACAUGCAAGUCGAGCGGGAUCCAACCGGUGGCAACACCGGGGAAGAUCUAGCGGCGAACGGGUGAGUAACACGUGAGCAACCUGCCCCGAAGACUGGGAUAACACCGGGAAACCGGUGCUAAUACCGGAUGUCGUCAUUAGGCCGCAUGACCUGAUGAUGAAAGGAUUCAUCGCUUCGGGAGGGGCUCGCGGGCUAUCAGCUUGNGGUGGGGUAACGGCCUACCAAGGCGACGACGGCUAGCUGGUCUGAGAGGACGACCAGCCACACUGGGACUGAGACACGGCCCAGACUCCUACGGGAGGCAGCAGUGGGGAAUCUUGCGCAAUAGGCGAAAGCCUGACGCAGCAACGCCGCGUGGGGGACGAAUGCCUUCGGGUU